RNAcentral lists this long non-coding RNA (777 nucleotides) under Citrus sinensis (sweet orange). Its description in RNAcentral is "long non-coding RNA (CSIN_LNC000114)". Lineage: Eukaryota; Viridiplantae; Streptophyta; Magnoliopsida; Sapindales; Rutaceae. The record is from RNAcentral.
CUCCUCAUCAUAAUUUUCCAUUCUUCACAAAAAAUCAACAUCACAGCAGCAACAAAUCAACACAACAGCAGCAACAAAUAAAAAGAACCUGAUGCUCAAUAAUUUUACUAACUAAUAUCAAUUGUACGCACAUAGAACAAUAUAUGUACAAGAAUUGAUUCCCAUAUUCAUUGAUAAAUAUAGACUCCUUAAUUAAUGCACCGAAUCAGUGUACAAUUUGAGCAACUAGCUGGCUAGGUAAAGUUGUAUAAUCAAAAUUUCAUGAAUUAAAAGUAGUAAAUAACAAAACAUCUGUAAAGGUGGCUUUAAGCUCUUUUAUUAAUUUUCUUAUUUUCCAAAGAUCAGAGAUCCCUGGAGAAUGUUAAAGGUUCAUAUAAUAUGAUGUUAACAACUAAGAAGUGUGACUUUUGUCUCUUAUUAUUUAUUUAUUUAUUUAUUUUUAUUAUUUUUUCUGGCCGUGGUUAGAACUUAGAACUGCUAUCUAUGAGUUGUAGCUGGUCAAGUUGACAUCUUGCCCAUCACGUGGUGUUUUCAAUUAACUCAAAGAAUGUAAAUUGUCCAUUCUGAAUUUAGAGAACGAACGACCUGGUGGCACAUACCCGGUCUAGCUUGAGAGCUUCAAGAUAUGCAGCGUCUUGUUCUUCUCUUAGCUGACGAUCUGCUCUUAUCUUUUCUUGUUCCCUGGCCCUGGCUCUUGUCCUUUCUUCCUCCUUUACCGGAGCACCAGCACCACCAAAAGCCAAUCCUUGUUCCUCUACUGUUCUCUGCAAGAUCUCC